GAUGAAGAACGCAGCGAAAUGCGAUACGUAAUGUGAAUUGCAGAAUUCAGUGAAUCAUCGAAUCUUUGAACGCACCUUGCGCCCUUUGGCCAUUCCGAAGGGCAUGCCUGUUUGAGUAUCAUGAACACCUCAACUCUCAUGGCUUGCCAUGAUGAGCUUGGACUUUGGGGGUCUUGCUGGCCUGUGGUCAGCUCCUCUCAAAUGAAUUAGCUUUCCAGUGUUUGGUUGGCAUCACAGGUGUGAUAACUAUCUACGCUUGUGGUUUCCACCAGGUAACCUUCAGUAACAUGGGGGUUUGCUGGAGCUCAUAAAUGUCUCUCCUCAGUGGGGACAGCUCUUUGAACGUUUGAUAUCAAAUCAGGUAGGACUACCCGCUGAACUUAAGCAUAUCAAUAAGCGGAGGA
This 404-nucleotide unclassified non-coding RNA is filed under the name soil metagenome. RNAcentral describes it as "partial contains 5.8S ribosomal RNA, internal transcribed spacer 2, and large subunit ribosomal RNA". The stretch from base 1 to 121 matches the Rfam family "5.8S ribosomal RNA", at positions 35 to 154 of the family's 154-position model. The record is from RNAcentral.